CCGGGACCAGGACCAGGACCCAGACGGGAGGACAAGAGGGAGAAGGAGAGAGAGAGACCCAGGGAGAGACCACAUGAGAGGGAGAGAGAGCGAGAGCACAGCCCCUCCACUAUGGCUUACAACAGUGACGAGGAGCGGUACCGUGGUUACCGGGAGUACCAAGCGGAGCGUGGCUACAGCGGCGGUGACCGCGGAGGAGGAGACCAGGAGAACCAGGACACCAUGGAGUGAUGAAGAGAACACCCUCCUCUCCCUCUGUCCCUCUUCAUCUCUCUCUCUCUGUCUACGUGGGAGGAGACCAGGAGAACCAGGACACCAUGGAGUGAUGAAGAGAACACCCUCCUCUCCCUCUGUCCCUCUUCAUCUCUCUCUCUCUCUGUCUACGUGGGAGGAGACCAGGAGAACCAGGACACCAUGGAGUGAUGAAGAGAACACCCUCCUCUCCCUCUGUCCCUCUUCAU
Long non-coding RNA from Oncorhynchus tshawytscha (Chinook salmon), 461 nucleotides. NCBI's taxonomy places the organism in Eukaryota, Metazoa, Chordata, Actinopteri, Salmoniformes, Salmonidae. The record is from Ensembl.